Long non-coding RNA from Amphiprion ocellaris (clown anemonefish), 1126 nucleotides. Lineage: Eukaryota; Metazoa; Chordata; Actinopteri; Pomacentridae. The record is from Ensembl.
GGCUGAUCCUGGACCAUCCCACAGAUGCUCAAUCAGAUCUGGAUGUGGGGAGUGUGGAACCCAGAUGUUCAGAGGGAGAUGAUGCCACAUCUGGUCCAGCUGAUGGAAGGUCUUGAAGUUCUCUGACUGGCCUCGACUGAAGAUGGUCGUCUCACUGGAUUUAAGAUGCACAAUGAGGGUCGUCAUUUGAUCUGGAACAGGAAUUCAAUAACGGCAGCAUGAGCUUCAUUUCAGUCUGUAGCUGCUGAAUUCAUGGAUGAAUCAUCUGGCACUAGAGAAGAAGACCAUCAAACAUCCACGUCAGCUGAUGGAGGUCCAAGAGUCUCACCAAACAAACAACCUACAGAGUGAAGACCUCAAAUCUGAUUGGACGGCCUCCUAUUCAGCCACAUUUUAGGCUGUUAGAUUGUUCCAGAUAAGACAAGUACAAGAUUCUUCAGAGCCGUUCUACCACGAGCCUGACAGGAAGAACUCCAACAGCUACUGAAUGUUCCUGUGGUUCCCUCAAGGCUACAGGAGGAGUCCUACGAGGACGAGCCGGUCCACCUGAUGGCGGCCAGUCGCUGCGGUUCAAAGCCAACACCGACUACAUGGACUUCUACUGGACCACAUGGAGGCCUUCAAACCAGACCAACGAGUUCAGCGACUCCCCGACUCGUGAGUCUGAGGACGCCGCCGAGCCUCGGUCCAGCCGGCCUCCUGUCUGUGGGUGUUUGAGUGCUGAGAGGUUUAUGGAUGCAUGUGAAUGUGUCUGUGUUGAAACAGCAGCUUUGGACUCAGUAACGCCGGGAAAAACCAAGAGCUCCUUUAUUUGGGACUUCCACUAAAAAAAUGAUGAAAAUAAGUUUGCCAGGGUUCUGACUGAUAACAGAUUAUUAAAUAAUGAAAAUAAUCGUUUAAAUAUUCCUUUAAACAAUCCUUUUAGGUCUACAUUUCCCUUACACGGACUUCUUGGUAUAUAUACAAGUAUUUUGGGUGGAAUAUACCAUUAAGCCCAAUGUUCAAGGGUUCUUGUGGGAAUAUACCAUUAAACCAACCUUUUAGGUAAAUGUUCCAGGAUGUUGGGUAGAAUAUACCAUCAGAUCAACCUUUUAGGUCUACAUUUAAGGUGGAAUACUCCUUUACA